UGAGGCUUAUGAUGAUUAAGAAUUGCCUACAUUGUUAGACCUUUAGUCUGAUGAAAAUAGAAAUGCAAAUCUGAGGCCUAA
Gossypium hirsutum (cotton) is the source of this 81-nucleotide non-coding RNA. The record is from Rfam. NCBI's taxonomy places the organism in Eukaryota, Viridiplantae, Streptophyta, Magnoliopsida, Malvales, Malvaceae.